AGUGAACGCUGGCGAUAGGCCUAACACAUGCAAGUCGAACGGCAGCACAGUAAGAGCUUGCUCUUACGGGUGGCGAGUGGCGGACGGGUGAGGAAUACAUCGGAAUCUACUUUUUCGUGGGGGAUAACGUAGGGAAACUUACGCUAAUACCGCAUACGACCUACGGGUGAAAGCAGGGGAUCUUCGGACCUUGCGCGAUUGAAUGAGCCGAUGUCGGAUUAGCUAGUUGGCGGGGUAAAGGCCCACCAAGGCGACGAUCCGUAGCUGGUCUGAGAGGAUGAUCAGCCACACUGGAACUGAGACACGGUCCAGACUCCUACGGGAGGCAGCAGCGGGGAAUAUUGGACAAUGGGCGCAAGCCUGAUCCAGCCAUACCGCGUGGGUGAAGAAGGCCUUCGGGUUGUAAAGCCCUUUUGUUGGGAAAGAAAAGCAGCAGGUUAAUACCCCGCUGUUCUGACGGUACCCAAAGAAUAAGCACCGGCUAACUUCGUG
This 492-nucleotide ribosomal RNA is filed under the name uncultured bacterium. RNAcentral describes it as "partial 16S ribosomal RNA". It matches the Rfam family "Bacterial small subunit ribosomal RNA", at positions 29 to 507 of the family's 1533-position model. The record is from RNAcentral.